UGGGGAGUAUUGCACAAUGGGCGCAAGCCUGAUGCAGCCAUGCCGCGUGUAUGAAGAAGGCCUUCGGGUUGUAAAGUACUUUCAGCGGGGAGGAAGGUGUUGUGGUUAAUAACCACAGCAAUUGACGUUACCCGCAGAAGAAGCACCGGCUAACUCCGUGCCAGCAGCCGCGGUAAUACGGAGGGUGCAAGCGUUAAUCGGAAUUACUGGGCGUAAAGCGCACGCAGGCGGUCUGUCAAGUCGGAUGUGAAAUCCCCGGGCUCAACCUGGGAACUGCAUCCGAAACUGGCAGGCUUGAGUCUUGUAGAGGGGGGUAGAAUUCCAGGUGUAGCGGUGAAAUGCGUAGAGAUCUGGAGGAAUACCGGUGGCGAAGGCGGCCCCCUGGACAAAGACUGACGCUCAGGUGCGAAAGCGUGGGGAGCAAACA
RNAcentral lists this ribosomal RNA (427 nucleotides) under uncultured bacterium. RNAcentral describes it as "partial 16S ribosomal RNA". It matches the Rfam family "Bacterial small subunit ribosomal RNA", at positions 355 to 774 of the family's 1533-position model. The record is from RNAcentral.